This 305-nucleotide ribosomal RNA is filed under the name uncultured bacterium. Its description in RNAcentral is "bacterial SSU rRNA". It matches the Rfam family "Bacterial small subunit ribosomal RNA", at positions 337 to 639 of the family's 1533-position model. The record is from RNAcentral.
UCCUACGGGACGCAGCAGUGAGGAAUAUUGGACAAUGGCCGAGAGGCUGAACCAGCCAAGUCGCGUGAGGGAUGACGGCCCUACGGGUUGUAAACCUCUUUUGUCGGGGAGCAAGACCCGCCUCGUGCAGGCGGAGCGAGAGUACCCGAAGAAAAAGCAUCGGCUAACUCCGUGCAGCAGCCGCGGUAAUACGGAGGAUGCGAGCGUUAUCCGGAUUUAUUGGGUUUAAAGGGAGCGUAGGUGGACAGUUAAGUCAGUUGUGAAAGUUUGCGGCUCAACCGUAAAAUUGCAGUUGAUACUGGCUG